CCCGUUCAAACCCGAAGCUCUGGUCUUUUUGCUCAAGUCCCGAGGGUCGAUUUUACUCCCGAGAUUCCCGAGAAUCCCGAGGAAAAUCCGUUUCCCGAGACGAAACUCUGCCCGGUUUUCCAUCUCGCUAUCUUCAAACUUUCAAGUGAGUUCAUACCCCUUAAUUUACCUUUUAAAUAUUUUAUAAAUUCUUUUAUAUGCUUUCAAGGGGGGGAUUACAAGUAAAACACACGAGUAUUAUCGUGUGUUACAUAAAGAAACUCUUUUAUAUGCUGUUAUAUAUCCAAAUCACAUGCGAUUUAUAAACUUUUAAGGAACUUUCAUAUAUAUAACAUAUGUUAAAAUAGCAUUCUAUCUUUUGAAAUAUAAAUUUGUUGUAAUGCAUGUAUAAACUAAACUUUUCUUAGAUUAUUCUUGUCUAUCUUAGACUCUACACCAAAAAUCUAUGCUUUCAUAAACAAGUGAUUUCUUUUCUAGGUAUUUCUAAACAAACAAGACACACUUUUAGAAAACUAUAAUAGGUAUAGUUUUACGAACAAAUUUCUAACUCUUAUGUACUAGAAACAUGAAUUUCAAGAAGUUUACUUUCGUAUACAAGAACAAACGUAACAUUUUAACAAGUAGAUCUGUUUUUAUACCACGGUUUUGUGAGACACUAACUUCAUGUACGUUCGAGUACACAUUUCAAGUCCUGUAUUAUAUACCAGAAUCCCUUGGAGGGGGAGCAUGGUGUUUGUGUAUAGAUCUAUACGGGCUUGACAACCCGCGCCCUGACUGUUAGCUGCAGUCCACCGUUUGGGGUGACAAACGUCAUAACAUUCCAACGCCUGAAGAACGUUGUGUAUAGGCAUUCCGAGUCAAUAGUAUGGUUAUAAAACUCACAAGGGGUAUUAAAAAUGCAUUGAUUUACAAGGUUUUCAAACUCAUUGGUUAUUUUACACUUACAUACAUUUUAGAAACAAACAUUGGUCUUGAGUGAAGGCUACUAUUAUACUAGUAGAAAAUAUAGGAUUUUCUAAACACAGACAAACAAAGACAAAACAUUUCAUUUCAUUCAAACAUUGUCAUUUAAAUACUUAUGAAACUCACCAGCUUAUAUGCUGAUCUACUCUUUCAAAAUUUACUUGUAUGUCCCAGGGAAUCAGUAAAUUUCCGGUAUUCAUUUUGCUUUUGAUGAAGGGAUGCUGCGGCGCCAGUUUAAUCUCGUAUUUUGACAUCAUAUUGUAAUUGGUUUUGAACAUGUAACUUUUGACAAAUGUAAACUUUCAAUUAUAUAUAUGAUGGUUGUAUUGCUUUCUUUACUAUGUAUUCAUUUGUUACGUUACCACAUGAAGUCAUCCGCCCCCGAACGUUUCCGCCGUUCAGGUUUGGGGGUGCGACGCUAGAACAAGGAGGAUAGCCGAUUUUGAAUGAUGGUGUACUUCUCUCAAAGUUAUUCCAAGAGUUGUGGUGUUGUGUGACAUNGUCAUCCGCCCCCGAACGUUUCCGCCGUUCAGGUUUGGGGGUGCGACGCUAGAACAAGGAGGAUAGCCGAUUUUGAAUGAUGGUGUACUUCUCUCAAAGUUAUUCCAAGAGUUGUGGUGUUGUGUGAAAUAUUUGAGGAAUCACAUUUGGGAUGCUAGGCUCACAAAGUUUUUAAGGAAUCCAAGCAACAAGAAAGGUAUGUUCUUCUACUAGCUUUUAUGUUUCAAGUUCCCCAUGCCAUGCUAGCUAGGUUAAUAACCUUGGAAAAAAUCAAAUUUGCAUGUAUCAUAGUAAAACAUAGAUCCAAGGUUUCUAGGGUUGCAUGUACACCAUAAGAGUGUUAGAAUGCUCAAAACCCAUCAGCGGUAUCAAAUACUAAGCUUGUUUUCUUGAUAUUUGAUGCAAACUGGUUGAAAAAGUCGAUUUUUUGUUCAAUGUGGAGUGGACUCGACGAGUCCAAAUGAAAAUGCAUCCUACUCGUCGAUUAGGUUCUUGCACUCGACGAGUAGGAGCCCCUAUGUGCAGAAUUUCGAGUUUUGCUGCUGGAAAUGGACUAGAAUCAUUACCCUAAACUGUUUUGGACUUAUAAAACCUGUUUUUUAUAGUGUAAUGAUUAUGCUAAUCCAUUUUCAAUGGUUAUUAUCAAAAUUUCAAGUUUUAUAUGUGUUAUAUGAUUCUUGAAAUUAUUGAUAUGAAUGUUCAUACACUUAUGAGAUUGGUAG
Molecule: long non-coding RNA, 2186 nt
Filed under: Lactuca sativa (garden lettuce)
Lineage: Eukaryota; Viridiplantae; Streptophyta; Magnoliopsida; Asterales; Asteraceae
Description: long non-coding RNA (LSAT_LNC008206)
Source: RNAcentral